Molecule: ribosomal RNA, 482 nt
Filed under: uncultured bacterium
Lineage: Bacteria
Description: partial 16S ribosomal RNA
Rfam family: Bacterial small subunit ribosomal RNA
Source: RNAcentral
AUUGAACGCUGGCGGCAUGCCUUACACAUGCAAGUCGAACGGUAACGGGCCUUCGGGUGCCGACGAGUGGCGCACGGGUGAGUAAUACAUCGGAACGUGCCCGAUCGUGGGGGAUAACGCGGCGAAAGCUUUGCUAAUACCGCAUACGAUCUACGGAUGAAAACAGGGGACCGCAAGGCCUUGCGCGGACGGAGCGGCCGAUGGCAGAUUAGGUAGUUGGUGGGAUAAAAGCUUACCAAGCCGACGAUCUGUAGCUGGUCUGAGAGGAUGAUCAGCCACACUGGAACUGAGACACGGCCCAGACUCCUACGGGAGGCAGCAGUGGGGAAUUUUGGACAAUGGGCGCAAGCCUGAUCCAGCCAUGCCGCGUGCAGGAUGAAGGCCUUCGGGUUGUAAACUGCUUUUGUACGGAACGAAAAGCCUUCUUUUAAUACAGGAGGGUCAUGACGGUACCGUAAGAAUAAGCACCGGCUAACUACGUG